CCUUUUAAGUAUAGUUUUUAAAUUUUUAAACAUUUUUUUAUUUGAAAUUGUAAAACUCAAAAUAUAAUCAAAUUAGUAACUAAAGUGCAAAACUGGAGACAACUAAUAGUACUAUUCAUCCAAAAUCUAAUUGACUCAAUCGAUUGGGUACCAAAAUUAAUCGAUCCCCUCAGCUGUAACGAUCAAAAAUUAAGUGAAAUUCAAGAAUCAAUCGAUCUCCUUUCAAAACCAAUCAAUCCUUCGUUUCCAAACAAGCACCAUCGACUAGUUUUGAAAGAGAAAAUCAUAUGUUUUCAUUUCCUAAGUUUCUCCAACAGUUAGUUCCUCAAUUCUUCUACAAAUUGAGCAUUCCAACACACUAAGAAAGUUAAAAAAAUAAGAGAGCAAGCACCAACAAGUCAUAUUUUUAUUCUCUCAAAAAAAAUCAAAACUUUUAGAGCCAAAAUUCCAUAUUUGUUGUAUCCAAACCAUCUUCAUUGUAUUAAUUCAUCAAUAUCCUUGUACUUUAUUAGGCAAACACUUGACCUUUAAAAAGUGUUUUAGUUUGCAUUUCAAUUGAGUGAUUUUGUAAUCAAGAGGUAAAAUAUCCUCUUAUAUUUGUGAGAUUAUGAGGUUGCUACUUAGCCUAGAAAUUAAAGAAUGUUUAAGUUACUAUCUAAGCCUUAGAAAAAAGAUAGAGUUGUAAUCUUUCUUCAAUUAGUGAAUUCAAGUCUUGGUGAAGACAACUAAUAGAGAGAACGUUAGUGCCUUGAAAAAAGGACUAAACAUUUAUAAAUCUUUGCGUUGAUUUCUCUAUCCCUACACUUUUUACACUUAUUGUUGUUUAUAUUUGUUUCUAAGCUUAUUAAUUGUUGUUGUUUACAUCAUAUUUUUCAUUAAAAAGCUCAUUGUUUUAAUUCUUCAUUCAAUUGUUUUGAAAUCAUUAUUUAAGAAGUAUUUAAAGAAAUCCAAUUUACCUCCUCUUAAAUCACUCUCACCUAAAAAUCUAACAAAAACAUAUAACAUUAAUUGUUCCCCCUUUCCUCCCGAAAAAGCUUCAUUUAGGUUGAUGAAACCAAGACCAACUAAGCUCAGGUAAAUAAGUUUGACACCAAUACAUACACAAAUUUGUCCAACAUAUCAAUAUAUGAAAUUCCUAAUAUUUAAGAUAGUUGGAGUUUCAAUCUAACUUAAAAAUUUCCAAGCAACCAACCAAAAAUCAAAGAAAACACCAGCUUCAUACAAUAAAAGUAAGAAUGUAUGUGAGAUAACCAUAUACUACACUUUUCCGCCAAAGCUUCACUACAAGAGAAUAGGUCUUUAGCAGCGUUUUUUUCA
This 1317-nucleotide long non-coding RNA is filed under the name Durio zibethinus. RNAcentral's name for it is "long non-coding RNA (DZIB_LNC000758)". Lineage: Eukaryota; Viridiplantae; Streptophyta; Magnoliopsida; Malvales; Malvaceae. The record is from RNAcentral.